AAAUUAAUAGAAUGAGUGGACUAAAAGUAACUUCAACAGCUCCUCAUCCUAACUUGAUGUCUCUACUUUUUGGGCAAAUUGUAAAAAAACUGCCUCCAACAGUUUUCCAUCCGGGUUUCCAAAUUUUAGCAAGUUGUCAUAUCCUCUCGUUUGCACGGAUAUAUGAGAGUCUGGAUUUCACUUGGCAUCCAAAAAAUACGACGCUGGUUUUCUGCUAUCAAUUGUGUAGGACUAUAUCAUCUGUGAAUGCACAUACGGAUAUAUGAGAGUCUGGAUUUCACUUGGCAUCCAAAAAAUACGACGCUGGUUUUCUCUCACGCCUCCACCUGAAAAAUUUACGUGCGACGAAAAGAGAGUCCUGGCGUGGCCGAGCCGCCGUCCAGUCGCCGAGCCGCCGCCACCGCCGAGGCCUGUUUCUGUGUAGGACUAUAUCAUCUGUGAAUGCACAUUAUCUAGCAGCAAACACGAACUCAUCGGUGGCGCGGGAGGCGUGCCGCGGGGGCGUGGGCGGCGCACAGCAGGCGACGCGGCGCGGGGGCACGGCCGGUGCCGGCG
This 555-nucleotide long non-coding RNA is filed under the name Oryza brachyantha (malo sina). RNAcentral describes it as "long non-coding RNA (OBRA_LNC000408)". The record is from RNAcentral. Lineage: Eukaryota; Viridiplantae; Streptophyta; Magnoliopsida; Poales; Poaceae.